RNAcentral lists this long non-coding RNA (381 nucleotides) under Mytilus galloprovincialis (Mediterranean mussel). Lineage: Eukaryota; Metazoa; Mollusca; Bivalvia; Mytilida; Mytilidae. The record is from RNAcentral.
AAAAACAGAUUAUUCCUCAUAUUGCUAAUAACUAUAUCUAGGGAAAGUGAAAGAUGAUGUUAAUGUAAUAUUUCUGGUUUAAUUUUUCAUAUAUUAGAAAACCUUACUGUUGUUUGAAUGGCUCUCCUUUCGCUUUAUGAACAUCGAGGUUAGUGCAUAGUCUGGCAUCAUUAUACAUAAUUUUCAAAGGAAGGUCAAAUUUACAGAAACACAUAUUAGUUAUGUUACUGUUUCUUAGUUAUAAAGUAAAUAUAAACUAUUUAUUAUGAAAGAAAAUGAAAUUUCAUAUAAUAAAUUGUAUGUGUAUCGGUUUUCUGGACAUACAGUCAUCAGGACCGCUCAAAUAUACUAAAGGCGAAGAAAAAUAAGUUUUGAAAGGGG